GGUACUGUGGCUAAGUUGGUGAAAGCACCUGUCUUGUAAACUGGAGUGCCUGGGUUCAAAUCCCAGCUAUACUU
Fundulus heteroclitus (mummichog) is the source of this 74-nucleotide non-coding RNA. The record is from the annotation of a RefSeq genome assembly. Lineage: Eukaryota; Metazoa; Chordata; Actinopteri; Cyprinodontiformes; Fundulidae.